This is a long non-coding RNA of Pungitius pungitius (ninespine stickleback), 776 nucleotides long. RefSeq lists it as uncharacterized. The transcript has 3 exons. Lineage: Eukaryota; Metazoa; Chordata; Actinopteri; Perciformes; Gasterosteidae. The record is from RefSeq and is a predicted model, not a curated record.
AUACGGCUCACAAGCCUCUGUUCUUGUUGUCAUCCUGACAGCCAAAUUUCGAGAAGCUGGCUUCAUGGACAGAGGAAAGAAGCUGCAGGGAGCACAGCCCAAGGUGGUGUGGCAGACCCACUUAUGAAGCUCUCCCACUUGCCUGCAUGAAACAAAAUCACGAUGCAUGUUAAGGCGCAGAGAGCAACGCUCGCUAUCCGAUUUUGGCACCUGGCUGGAUCAGUUGGUACAACAUGCUGCCGCCGUCCCUGGUAAAUAAACCUGGAAGAACUAUCCGUCCCAUCUGCCGGUACAUAUGUCAUCUGAUGUAAACUCACCGGGAUGGGAGCUUCCACCUUGCUGAGUCCGAAUCAGCACGCGCUCGUCUGCCAGGUGGUUGUAAUACGUUCACUCGGAGGCUAAUGUAUGAAUCCUUUCAUUAAAAGAGCACGGCAGUUAAUUAGAGAGCUCCAAAUGUGCCGUUUAAUAGACGGACUGCGUGGACCUGCUUGAUAAAUAUAAUUAAAAUUCACUUUGUGUGCUUAGAAGAUACUUAAUGUCAUCAACUUUGAUGCUUUUGCUUUUCAUGUUGUGUAAAUGUAUGUACGGAAAAUCCGCCACCCACUUUUUCCAUUUUUAUGUGAAUUGAGUUCCUGGUAAAGGACUUAAUAAAGUUUUUUUUUAAAAACAACACUUUGUUAAACAUUUAAACCGUUUAAGUAAAUCUAAUUCCUGUCUUAACCUUCCCUGUGAUUAUUUGCAAUAAAUUCCAUUUCAACCUUUUAGAAAUCUGAACC